GUCCACGCCGUAAACGGUGGGAACUAGGUGUUGGCGACAUUCCACGUCGUCGGUGCCGCAGCUAACGCAUUAAGUUCCCCGCCUGGGGAGUACGGCCGCAAGGCUAAAACUCAAAGGAAUUGACGGGGGCCCGCACAAGCAGCGGAGCAUGUGGCUUAAUUCGACGCAACGCGAAGAACCUUACCAAGGCUUGACAUACACCGGAAACGGCCAGAGAUGGUCGCCCCCUUGUGGUCGGUGUACAGGUGGUGCAUGGCUGUCGU
Molecule: ribosomal RNA, 263 nt
Filed under: uncultured bacterium
Lineage: Bacteria
Description: partial 16S ribosomal RNA
Rfam family: Bacterial small subunit ribosomal RNA
Source: RNAcentral